Molecule: long non-coding RNA, 1493 nt
Organism: Aethalodelphis obliquidens (Pacific white-sided dolphin)
Lineage: Eukaryota; Metazoa; Chordata; Mammalia; Artiodactyla; Delphinidae
Exons: 3
Source: RefSeq, a predicted model, not a curated record
CCCCCGCCCCCGGCACUGCCACGUGCAACACCCAGGCCUGCUACCACUUCUGCAUCCGUCCAGAUGCUCUGGUUGCAGACCCAGGUCUGUCCUCUGGUGUGUCUCGCGCUCAGACAAGCAGAUACACCCACGGCUGAUGCAACGGACACAGUUGUGCAUCUGUGCUAACCAGACCUCCCCAAGCUGAAACACCUGCUCAACCACGUAGACUAAUUUUUCUCCUUCUGACACCAGCCGUGUAACUCCUUAGGAGACAGCGUUCCUGUGAGGGGUCACAAUGACCCGCCACUCGCCUUGAUGAAGCCGCUGAAAGCACCCCCUCCACGAAGAUGGCAUCAGGACAAACUGACCUUCCAGAGCUUGGGGCCCUGUGCCCCCCGGGCCCCAGGCCUCUCCCGUCCACGUGGUCCAUCAGGGAGGCUGCUUCCUGCUGAGUCACGCCCCCGGCCAACUUCAGCCCAUCCAGCCCAUGCCUGAGCCCGGGGCCGGGGGGGAUGGUGUUGGGGGGCCCUGGGCUCCAGGUAAGUGCGGCAUCAAUGUCCGUGUCAGGGCUGGGGCUGGGACAAAGUGUCCUUCCUGGGAGAGCCCGUGACACGCCCACCCUCGUGAUCCCAGCUAUACCACGGGACCCUCCCCUGGAAUCCCUGGCACCCCCCACCAGGUCCUCCCCGACAGCUGUGGGCACAGAGGGGGGCUGGCCGGGGGGGGGCGGGGCCCAAGGGAGGAGGGAGGGUUUCCAGCUUCACCCUGACCCGGAGGGUGUUCCUGAGGACGGCGGCCCCCGCGACAGGAAACGGUGCCCACCAGCCCGCAGGGGACCAGACAACACCCGGAGUGCCAUCUUCGGGCCUGACAGGCUUCGGACGGCCAGAAAACUGCGUGGCCUCCGGGUGCCUGUGCCUGCACUGUUGUCUCGGUUUAAAUAGUCUCCUGGUGAACGGGACCACCACCCUGCAGAGAGCUUCGGCCGGAUGUCAGAGCCCGCUCUGCUCACACACCUUGACCCAGAAACUCCAUUUUUGGGAUCCGCUCUAAGGAAAUGCCACACCAAGACCCUUCUACACACAAGGGAAGGGGCCUAACGCCUACUCAUCUGAGAUUCAAGACACUACUCCGCAGAUUCUGCAGACCCGGUGGGGGAGCCAUCCCAGCCUUUCUGCGGGGUUUCCCACACCGCUGGGGCCGCUUCCCGGGUGCCAAGCACCAGGGCCUGGGCAGGGCCAAGGUCUUUGACAGUUGCUGGGACUCCGGAGCUGGAGGGGCAGUAGGCAGCAGUGGGUUGCACCUCGGCCUUACAGCCCCGGACAUACCUGGCUUCUCUGAGUCCAGCACUGGCCUGGCAGUGCCAAGAGGCUGGAGGUGGGGCACCCCUCUGCUGGGGUGGGCACAGCAGACUAGGACACACUAUACCAUUAAGUCAAACGUGUUAGCUGCCAGUGAUAUUAGCUGUGAUUCCUACUUUUUUCUUCCUACAUCUCUGCAUUUUCUAGAUU